Molecule: unclassified non-coding RNA, 405 nt
Filed under: Hevea brasiliensis (rubber tree)
Lineage: Eukaryota; Viridiplantae; Streptophyta; Magnoliopsida; Malpighiales; Euphorbiaceae
Source: RNAcentral
GAAAGUGAGAGAGUGCAUGGAAAAAGAAAUUGCUCCUAUAAUGACAAAGUACUGGGAAAAAGCAGAGUUUCCGUUUGAAGUUAUUCCGAAACUUGGUGCUUUGAACAUAUCUGGUGGCACUAUAAAGGGGUAUGGUUGUCCAGGUUUAUCAGUAACUGGAAGUGCCAUUGCUCUAGCAGAAAUUGCCAGAGUAGAUGCAAGCUGCUGUACAUUCAUUUUGGUGCAUUCAUCUUUGGCAAUGCUCACUAUUGGACUAUUGGGAUCAGAAAUGCAAAGGCAAAAAUACUUACCAUCUCUGGCUGAUCUUAGCAGUAUAUCUUGUUGGGGUCUAACUGAGCCAGACUAUGGAAGCGAUGCAAGUGCUUUGAGGACCACUGCCACAAAGGUUGAAGGAGGUUGGAUCCU